GAAAAAGCGACGAGAAGGAGAAGUAGAAAAUCAGGCUUUUUACAGAGAGAACCACCUUUUGGCUGGAAGUGGUUUAUAAGCGGAUUUUUGAAAUGCCCCUUCGAGUCUUCUGCUGAACAACGAAGAGUUUCGGGAAACGUCUAAUGGCGCAAAGUAAGUAGAAGCGGUAUAAACCGUUAUCAUGGAUGAGUUUGAGGCUUCUUAGCCUAAACAGAGUGGAACCGCGCUUAUAAGGCGUCUCUGUC
Molecule: non-coding RNA, 245 nt
Filed under: Bacillus gaemokensis
Lineage: Bacteria; Bacillati; Bacillota; Bacilli; Caryophanales; Bacillaceae
Description: T-box sequence
Rfam family: T-box leader
About the family: Uncharged tRNA acts as the effector for transcription antitermination of genes in the T-box leader family.
Source: RNAcentral